CGUGAGUAAUUCAACUUGGUCUCAACAAGCCGCGGCGGUACUUACCGCCGCCUGACUGGACAACCACCGCGGCGGUACGUACUGCCGCGGCAAAUAAUUUCCCCAAGAUCACAGCGCCACUCGGUGGCGAUGUGGGGCAAGGGCAAUACACACGACGAACAGAAGAUACCGCAUAACGUGUUAAUAGGGCUUGCAGUGCAAAACAUCACGGGCCACAAACUUCCAGCAACCAGCCUCCAGAACAAAAUUGUCCCAGCAAAGAGAAAGGUGCAUGCCAAGACAUGGCUCAGCCUCAUUCAAUUCAAAUAGGGAAGGCUCAAAUAGUUAAACAUUAUUGAUUGCUCUUGUAUUGAUGCACAAGAAGUAUACCACCAGUUGUGAACAUGGGAGAAGCA
Long non-coding RNA from Daphnia pulicaria, 395 nucleotides. RefSeq lists it as uncharacterized. Lineage: Eukaryota; Metazoa; Arthropoda; Branchiopoda; Diplostraca; Daphniidae. The record is from RefSeq and is a predicted model, not a curated record. The transcript is spliced from 3 exons.